RNAcentral lists this transfer RNA (68 nucleotides) under Ardeola bacchus (Chinese pond heron). Its description in RNAcentral is "tRNA-Phe". It matches the Rfam family "tRNA". From Rfam's summary of the family: Transfer RNA (tRNA) molecules are approximately 80 nucleotides in length. Their secondary structure includes four short double-helical elements and three loops (D, anti-codon, and T loops). Further hydrogen bonds mediate the characteristic L-shaped molecular structure. tRNAs have two regions of fundamental functional importance: the anti-codon, which is responsible for specific mRNA codon recognition, and the 3' end, to which the tRNAs corresponding amino acid is attached (by aminoacyl-tRNA synthetases). tRNAs cope with the degeneracy of the genetic code in two manners: having more than one tRNA (with a specific anti-codon) for a particular amino acid; and 'wobble' base-pairing, i.e. permitting non-standard base-pairing at the 3rd anti-codon position. Lineage: Eukaryota; Metazoa; Chordata; Aves; Pelecaniformes; Ardeidae. The record is from RNAcentral.
GUCCUUGUAGCUUAUACUAAAGCAUAGCACUGAAGAUGCUAAGAUGGUUACCUAUAUUCCCAAGGACA